Long non-coding RNA from Gallus gallus (chicken), 6148 nucleotides. RefSeq lists it as uncharacterized. The transcript has 9 exons. Lineage: Eukaryota; Metazoa; Chordata; Aves; Galliformes; Phasianidae. The record is from RefSeq and is a predicted model, not a curated record.
GAGGGAGAGAGAGGGAGAGAGAGAGAAAAGAAAAGCAAAAAAGAUGUAGAGAGCAAAACAAUGCGGGAGAUCUGGGCUGCAGCGGCAGAGCGGCUCCGGGAGCUGCUGGCCGCCCGCUCCGCACGGGCACGGCAGGGACAGGGAUAGGGCGGGGGGCACGGCCGCCCGCAGCCCUGAGUGCCGCCGCGGGAGCCACAGCUGUGGACUGGUGUACAUGUGGCUCUUCAUUCCCUUGUGAAAUCCACGAGAGAGGACUGCUGUCUUGUCACACAUUGGAUCCAUUGCUUUCAUGAGUUCUAGGUGAAGGCAGUCGUGAAGCACACACAUCCUACAGAAUGACCACGAUAUGGACUGCAGUUCUUCACACUGACAGCGUGAGAAGAAAGAAGAAACAGUGACGAAUUCACCCUGUGUAUUAAGGACCUCUACCACCUCCUCCCGUUAACCCCCACCUUACAUCCUUGUCCUGCACCUCUGGAAGCUCAUUUGUUAGUGCAAUGUCAUGUGUUCUCUUUAGUGCCUCAACUCAGGGUGCUGGUUGGAGGCAGCUGGGUGCUCCCUCCGUAUAAUAUGUGUCCUAGCCCAGGCUGAGGGGGCAAACCUGCUCCCUCUGGACUCUGUAUCCAGGUAAGCAGAAUGGCAAAACGUUUGUUGUAAAAGUUUGUGAAGAAUUGCUGCAGGGUUAUUCGGAGCGGGCUACUGAUAGGACUGUGAAUGGGAACAAAAAACCUCACUGACAACUGACACAGCACAAGAGUUAAUCAUCUUGAAUCAUAAUAAUUUGUCAUCGAAAAAAAAAAAAGAAAACAACCCACUGAGAUCAAAGGCAAUUUUAGAGGAGUGAUUAUUUUGACAGAAGUGGCAUGUGGAGCUGUGCAUAUUACAGCAGGCAGCACGGGAGGUGCCAGCCUAUGGGAAAUGUGCACGCAGCUAUCAGAAGGGCAUGCGGUAAAAGGUAAAACAUUCAGAUGAACUUUUCAGCCAAAUGGUAGACAGUAUUGCAGCUGAUGGCAAGUGUUUGCCUGACAGAAAAGUAGUAUGUGCUACUUCAUGUUGGACAGUGAUGCCCAAACCAAUGCAGUACAACAGUCUAAGUCAUUCACAGUGACAGCAAAGCCAAAGGAAGAAGACAGAAGCCCAUUACUGGGUAAAAGUACGUCCAUUCCACAGCUUCCUCAGGAGAAUGUCUUCAUCAGGGAAGCAAAGGAGAAAAACAGCUUAAGAAAAAUCUCAGGAUUUUCCAUAGCAUAGUGACAAAUUGCACCUUUUCCAGUUUGUUAGCUAUUAUAUAUAUCUCCAGGAGGGAAAGGAUCAGUGGUACAUACUUAUCUUUCUCCAUUCACCCUAGGAUGAAGGUCUGUAGAAAAGUACAUGUGCCUUUUGGCACAAGGUGGCUGGUGCUGUAUAUUCCCUGCAUCUGUUGCUGGUAUAGAGGAAAAAUUCACAUGGGAUUUUGUUAAAAAGGAAUGGAGAGGUGGUUUACCCUGUGUUGAAUAAACAUACUGAGAAGAACAUGGGAUGGUUAGCUAGGCAUGGAUAAACCCUCGAGAAAGGCAUGAAGAUGUUCUGCAUUGCCUGAAAAUGACAAGUGACACGGGAAAAUCUCAGACUCAUCACAGGUGCCACAAUGAAACUAAGUCAAGCAAAACCUCAGGAGACAAAGGUUCCUCAAAAGCAAAGCAUGCUUUGCUUUACAUAGGCUGGAAAAACAAAACCACGUACCCUAUGCUAUUUUUUUUCCUUUGCUGAGCUAGCCUAAAUAGAAGAUAUUACAGAUGAGUGUAUGUGUCAAAAGCAUUGGAUAAGUUGGGAUGCAGCUGACAUAACUGUAAGUGACAGCGACAUUAUUUAGUUUAAGUAGUUUGCAGUUAAGUAUAGACUUAGACAUAAUCUUGCCAAUGGAACAGUUCCCACCCUAAUAUGUGAGUAAGAAAUGGUGCCAGAUUAAUAAAGAGUUUAUUGAACAGAAGCCAGAGCCAGAGCCUGAUCCACAUUUAGAACAACUGAGUUCAAGAGCAGCAUCGGUGAUGCAUGGAGCUGUCACCUGAGGAUGUUUUUUCCUAUGGAAAACUGAAAUUCAGACUAACUGCAUUAUGAGACACCAGAGACCUGUAGAAAUGGAGGGUGAGAUAGCAAGGCAAACUCCUCGGUUGAACUCAUUGUUCUCAAAUCCAUCUCCUCCGAGAAUAAGGGUCAGAGCCGAUACCAAACUUCAUGGGGAUUUUGAGCCUCUUGGCAGUUACAAAUGUGUGAUUUUAAGAGUAACUGCUGUGUAAGUAAUUCUUUCAUGUGUUUGCUGCAACGUGCACUCCAUGCCCACUGCAGACCGUCACCACGUACUGAUGGUAACCCCCAUCCCAGUCCAUUCUUUUGACUUUAGCACCUGUGAAAGACGCAAGGACUUUCUUUACGUUGCGGAAAUAGGGUCAGUCACAUCUGUGGUGCCAACUUGUAGCGCACACCGCCUCAGGGCCCUGUCAGGUAUUGCAUCUAUGCAGUACAAAAGUAGUUUGUGCGUUCAGAGCGCUGCUUUAAACACAGCAGGUCUUGUUAGUGCUGAAGCGUCAUCUCAGAGGGACUUUUACAUGUUAUAAACAGUUCGCUGGAAGAUUAAGAAAAUGGCGUGACAUUGUCUGGAUCAUAAGUAUUUUUAUUUUAUGGAAUAUCCAACUGUAAGCACAUUUUUGGCAGGCAAAAUAUACGAAAUCUAAGCAGAUGCAGGAAGAUACUCUAAAUAGUAACGGUGGUCGGCUUUCAUAGCCUCUGCCACAGAGUCCCAGCAGAAGGCGGACUGGACAGAGGCCGUGCCGACCUGAAGGGAGGUUUUGCUUUCACUGAAAGGCGAAACGCCUCUGCAGAAGCCGAGGCCGCGGCGCCGCGCGCCAUGCCCGCAGCCAGGCGGCCGUUGCGCCGCGCCGCCGCUGGGUGUCGCCCACGGUGGGGCCGCGGCGCGGAGGCGGGGCGCGUGGCGCUGCACAAAAUGAGCGGCGCCGUUGUUGUGGCCGUCGCCAUCUUGGCUCGCCGCCUCCCUCGGCGUGGGGCGGGGGGAGGCGGGGGAAGCUGCCGCCCUAAGGCGAGGUUUAACCCUCGGGAGGCCGCCGUCGCUGCCGUGUGCCAGGACGCGUCUUGUCCUUUAACGGCGCACACGGCGGCGUAGGAACGCCGUCACGGGCAGGGUGGGCGGCUGAGGGAAAGCCUCGCCCACGGCUUUGCAUGCGAGGAGGAGCCGUGCAACGGCAGUGGCGAGCGGGGCUGCGCGCGUUUGAAGAGCAGUUGAUGCCACAAAGGAAUGCGGCGUGCGGAGCGUGCUUUGGGCUUUGCGAGCACCUGAUACAAUUUGCUGGAAAAUUGAAUUUGGGGGCACAGUGAAAAUCAAAUCAGGGACAGAAAAGUGAUAAGAAUGCUGAGCAAGGGCUUGUCCUAGGAAUCACAGAUGAAGACUGAUUUUGCAGCUGUGGGAAUGGCAGAGCGCUCCCAGCUGCCUGGAAACCAAAAUCAAGAGAUGUGGAGAAUGCAGUAUCGUCUUGGUUGAUCGUUGUACAGUAAAAGGCUGUAGUUUAGUUCAAGCAGCAUUUUGGAGGCAGGCUCUCACCUUUCCUGCAUGGGAUUUUCCCUUAAGAUGGUGCCACCCUUAGAGGCCAGGAACGGGAAUUCUCCUUGCAUUAACACCCUCCUCCUUCUACAAACUGAGGCAAAAACCAUGACAACAGUGCAGCCCUGGUUUGUGCCCUGGAGGGUAUUUGCCCAGCCACAACUGUCGCCAGCCGGGUGCCACAGAUUAGGUAUGAGUUCGACAGAGAGCUGUUCUUCUUUGGAGUGUUAAUUCUGUCUUCAUUUGUGAAUUUAUGCAUAAGAGAAAGAAAACAUGAACAGCACCAACGUGAUCAUUCACCCAAGAGAUGUCCAUCCUGAAUCAAAGCAAACUGUGGCAGGUAAAAUCCAGCCUUUCAUUUCUGUUGGAAUGCAGCUGGCCAGCCUCCCUUACCCUCCGAGCCACCUUAGAGGGUAAAGGGGCUAUGAACUUUGCAGAGGUUCACAAGUGGCACCCGACAUCCCACCAGUCUGCUGCAAGCACAAUGCUUUUAUUUUGAGACGAAGAGAUGAAGUCUGGGAAUCUACUGCGUGCCAAAGUCUUCCUGGAGAAUAUGGAGCUCCCUCAAAAUUGAGCUGGUGUGAAACUGCUCUGAGCCUAUAGGUGCCUGCAAUACGACAAGUGCCUGCUGUACCACCACUCUCAUCUCUGAAACCAGUUUCUUCAUCGCCCCACCAUCGACACAGAUGUUGCUGUAGUCAGGCAACAGAAUGCCAAUGCAGCACCCUGGGAACAGAGGAGCAGUUGUUUUCACCACAGCUUUCCCAUUUGGUUUAGCUCUGUCAGGCAAGGAAAGCACCUGCCUCUUUCCAACAAGAACUUACUCAGCUUGAGCAUCUCCAUAUGAAACAAUUAAUGGAACAGAAAGGCAGUGAGAAGAAAUCCACCAAGGUGUUACUCCCCUACUACUGCUUAAUCCACAAAACCUCCAACUCUGCCUGCAGAGGAUGCCUAAAAACAAGAGCCUGAGAAACCUGGAGGUUUUCAGCACCGUUCAUUACACUACAGUUAUCAGCCCUGAAUACAACCCAGGAAGUAUUCCACAGAUGUUAUAUAGCAUUUAAUUUAAAUAUGUAAAAAACUCACUGAAUUACAGAGAAAAAAAUAGCAUUUUGCAAUUGGCAUCAACGAGUGGAAGCAAAAGACAUCCGACAAAGGCCAGGUUGUUCCUUUUAUCUCCUGUCCUGUGCUUAGUAAAGAACGCUGCCUAAGAAAUACAAGCUAUAAACAUAUCUUUCUUUGUUUCUUUUUAAGAAAUUAACUGUAUACAGGUGCAAGCUUGUAGACUACGUGAGCUGUGGUGCUCUCUUUGUAAAUAAAGACAAAUAGGAAUAAAAAUGAAUUAUCAAUUAAAAAAAGCCUUACAUAAACUUUCCUUUUAAAAUCUAUAGUGACUUGUUUCUGAAAUUGUAUUGCAGCCACACAUUCAAAUUUCCUCAUCCAUGAAUGUAACGUUAAAGUAAAACAGAAGGUUUCCAUACUUAUACCUGUAUGCACAUUUUUUAAAUAUACUUCUGUAGAUAUACAGGUGGGUUUUUUGUGGAUAUACCAUUUCUGUAGAGAGUAACUUACUGCUUAUUGAAGAAAUAUGGUUGUGUUCCUAAUCUCUGGGAGAGAGCCUGACAACACUGGUCUACAUCUUCAAGCACCUAUCAAAACACACAAGAGAUAAGAUAAUCAUCUUGUCAGGAAAGAACAACAGUAAAUAUAAAUAUAUAUAUACACCUUCUUACUGUACUUGUGCUGACAGAGGGGACAAGGAAUAUACAAUGUUGGAGCAUCAAAAGCUGUUAAAGGUAGCAGCUAAGUGUUAUUUAAUCACGCAUUUAACAUAGAGCCAACUCUAAUUAAGUGCUUUCCAAGAAAUGUUUAACUUAGCUUAAUGAAAGGUACUAACUUACAUAUCAAACUGCUUUCUUUGUUGUUUUUUUUUUAGACUUCUGAGAAGUGAAGCUGCAGUCCUGCAAGGUGUGCCUAUUAAUGCCACAGGAGAGGGGCAGUAAUUAAAAAUGUGUUUUUCAGGACCACCGGCUGAACUAACAUGAACAGAGAUGCACAUGUGGUAAAGCAUCCUUCCUCCCACUCCAUCAGGCUGUACAUCAGUUAAGAUUUAUCACUGCUGAUGACAGAUACCUGACCUCACAUAACUCUUUAAGCACAGAGUUUUGUUGUAACAGUUGUAGUUAAAUAAAGUGUUAUUUCUCUUAAGCCUUAAAUAAAAGAACAGUGGAAAACAGUGGGAAGAAAUAAGCUUCACCCCUCAUACUGACCUGUUCAAGCGACUUGCCAGCCCACCCAAUGGCCUUCAUCUUUCUCCUUAUCUCCCAUUGCUUCUGAUAGGACAAAAUGCGGUUAAGAGGCCAGGGGUAAGGGGAGCCAUACCUCGGGUGAGUAAUCUUUGGUAAGAAACAGAAAGUGACUUUGUUAUCAUAUAAACAAUGCAGACAGCUCUAUUUACAAAACAGCUAGUAGUCUCAUCUUUCUAUCACUGAGAGCAAUAAAGAGAAAGAAUGUUGUGUGAUAUGCUGCAAUUAUUUGUGCAGAAUUUAUUGUUUU